RNAcentral lists this transfer RNA (75 nucleotides) under Pseudomonadota bacterium. RNAcentral describes it as "tRNA-Gly". It matches the Rfam family "tRNA". Rfam says of the family: Transfer RNA (tRNA) molecules are approximately 80 nucleotides in length. RNAcentral also lists the same sequence under 1 other name. Lineage: Bacteria; Pseudomonadati; Pseudomonadota. The record is from RNAcentral.
GCGGGAGUAGCUCAGUGGUAGAGCACCACCUUGCCAAGGUGGCCGCCGCGGGUUCGAGUCCCGUCUCCCGCUCCA